RNAcentral lists this unclassified non-coding RNA (22 nucleotides) under Chlamydomonas reinhardtii. RNAcentral describes it as "small RNA Cre_0100". Lineage: Eukaryota; Viridiplantae; Chlorophyta; Chlorophyceae; Chlamydomonadales; Chlamydomonadaceae. The record is from RNAcentral.
AAGAGGAUUGUCGCCUAGGUUG